CGAUUCUACCGUGGGUCUUUUCCUUCCGCGAGGCGGAGGCCCGAGGCCACCCGUGCAACGACUACCCCUCACUCUGGGAGUGGAAGAGGCGGCGAGUAGAGAGGAAACCCGGUGGAAGGAAAAGCCAGCAUUUUAAAAGCCCAUAUUAAGAAGAGCAGUGGGAAGGAGGUGAUCGAAGACGAGGUUUGCAGUGAGAAAGAUGCCCAUGGACCACUGAGUUUUUCUACCUGUAUUCCCGAACACAACUUCAUUUCUUAACCCGGGCUGUGCUGAUUGGGGAGCUUAUCCAAAGGAGGGCCAGGAGAGGCAGUGACAUGCCUCACUCAGGGCUACCCUGGCUGCUGAGGAUAUGAGCUGAAGCACCUGGAGCUGCUCCUCAUUCCCAUCUUCUUCCUGCUCCUCUGGCCCCUCAGACCCACCAUCUCAACAGGAUGAUCUGGCCAGCAACAGCCCCUUUGAGGACGAGCUUUGACAAGUUCGCUGGGCCUUAUCCUCUAGUUGGGAAGUGCACCUCCAGCACUUGGUGAGAAAGAGUGACCUUAGCAAACUUCGACUGGUCCAUUCACUGCGGGAUCCUCAGGGCUGGGCAGGGAGUCUGGCAUAUCCUAAGCCCAGUGUAGCAGUACAUAAACCCCAUGGAAAAGUGGGUACUUUAACCUCAAGUUUAAGUACAACUAUCAUACAGCGAAGAAUAGUCAUACUGGUUGAUAGGAAGGCUGCUAUAUCCACUCUCUCAUAACAUUUUUUUUGCCCCUCCUCAAAAGAUUUGGAACAAUAAAAAUCAAUUAAUAUA
Neofelis nebulosa (Clouded leopard) is the source of this 793-nucleotide long non-coding RNA. RefSeq lists it as uncharacterized. NCBI's taxonomy places the organism in Eukaryota, Metazoa, Chordata, Mammalia, Carnivora, Felidae. The record is from RefSeq and is a predicted model, not a curated record. The transcript is spliced from 3 exons.